AGAGUUUGAUUCUGGCUCAGAAUGAACGCUGACAGAAUGCUUAACACAUGCAAGUCUACUUGAUCCUUCGGGUGAUGGUGGCGGACGGGUGAGUAACGCGUAAAGAACUUGCCUUGCAGUUUGGGACAACGUCUGGAAACGGACGCUAAUACCGGAUAUUAUGAUUGGAUCGCAUGAUUUGAUUAUGAAAGCUAUAUGCGCUGCGAGAGAGCUUUGCGUCCCAUUAGUUAGUUGGUGAGGUAACGGCUCACCAAGACGAUGAUGGGUAGCCGGCCUGAGAGGGUGAACGGCCACAAGGGGACUGAGACACGGCCCUU
This 317-nucleotide ribosomal RNA is filed under the name uncultured bacterium. RNAcentral describes it as "bacterial SSU rRNA". It matches the Rfam family "Bacterial small subunit ribosomal RNA", at positions 8 to 334 of the family's 1533-position model. The record is from RNAcentral.